CCUAAACAAAACUCAAAGAGGUUAAGAAACCACCUAGAUCUACCUGCGUCCAGAACCUUUACAUACCUAGAGACAAGUCCUGUGGGAGAAAGAAGAAGGUGCUCUAAACAAAACAAGACAAAAUAGGAUGACUGGGGAAAGUCCAAGGGAACACCAUCACCUGCCAUCAGGAUAUCACUAAGCCCCUGCGCCAGCUGAUAUGGCAGGAAAAUGCUACAAAAAGCCUUUUUAUUAUAUUAACAUGGUACAAAGACAAUAUGUUUGAGAAACUCAGCCCAGAAGCCUGGAUUCACUUCUAAUGUUUGGUAAGAGCGAAGGUUGGCCGGGCCUGGGAGCAGCCAACACUCUGCUGUGGACCCGGAUACCGACACCUCGCAGGUCAGCGCUCGGUUGGGAAGCUGCUCCAGAACUCAUUCUCUGACCAGAGGUACUUCUCAUUUCCCUAAGAGAUGGAAACACUUCAAAGGAUUCCUCAAUUUUAUCAUGGCAAGCCCUGGAAUCCUUUUUUUUUUUUCUCUCUCUCUCUUUUGAAAUCUGGCCUUAGUAACAGAGAGAUUUUACCC
Molecule: long non-coding RNA, 563 nt
Organism: Nyctereutes procyonoides (raccoon dog)
Lineage: Eukaryota; Metazoa; Chordata; Mammalia; Carnivora; Canidae
Exons: 3
Source: RefSeq, a predicted model, not a curated record